UCACAUCUUACGACGGCAGUCUCACUAGAGUCCUCAGCAUGACCUGUUAGUAACUAAUGAUAAGGGUUGCGCUCGUUAUGGCACUUAAGCCGACACCUCACGGCACGAGCUGACGACAACCAUGCAGCACCUUCACAGAGACCUUGCGGCCAUAAUCUUUCAACUAUGUUCCUCUGCAAUUCAAGCCCGGGUAAGGUUCCUCGCGUAUCAUCGAAUUAAACCACAUGUUCCUCCGCUUGUGCGGGCCCCCGUCAAUUCCUUUGAGUUUCACCGUUGCCGGCGUACUCCCCAGGUGGAAUACUUAAUGCUUUCGCUUGGCCGCUUACUGUAUAUCGCAAACAGCGAGUAUUCAUCGUUUACUGUGUGGACUAC
Molecule: unclassified non-coding RNA, 372 nt
Filed under: uncultured Bacteroidaceae bacterium
Lineage: Bacteria; Pseudomonadati; Bacteroidota; Bacteroidia; Bacteroidales; Bacteroidaceae
Description: contains 16S-23S intergenic spacer region
Source: RNAcentral